This 299-nucleotide ribosomal RNA is filed under the name uncultured bacterium. Its description in RNAcentral is "partial 16S ribosomal RNA". It matches the Rfam family "Bacterial small subunit ribosomal RNA", at positions 334 to 630 of the family's 1533-position model. The record is from RNAcentral.
AUAACCUACGGGGGGCAGCAGUGAGGAAUAUUGGUCAAUGGACGAGAGUCUGAACCAGCCAAGUAGCGUGAAGGAUGACUGCCCUAUGGGUUGUAAACUUCUUUUAUAUGGGAAUAAAAUGUUCCACGUGUGGGAUUUUGUAUGUACCAUAUGAAUAAGGAUCGGCUAACUCCGUGCCAGCAGCCGCGGCAAUACGGAGGAUCCGAGCGAUAUCCGGAUUUAUUGGGUUUAAAGGGAGCGGAGGUGGAUUGUUAAGUCAGUUGUGAAAGGUUGCGGCUCAACUGUACAAUUGCAGGUGA